CCAAGGCGACGACGGGUAGCCGGCUGAGAGGGUGACCGGCCACACUGGGACUGAGACACGGCCCAGACUCUACGGGAGGCAGCAGUGGGGAAUAUUGCACAAUGGGCGCAAGCUGAUGCAGCGACGCCGCGUGAGGGAUGACGGCCUUCGGGUUGUAAACCUCUUUCAGUAGGGAAGAAGCGAAAGUGACGGUACCUGCAGAAGAAGCGCCGGCUAACUACGUGCCAGCAGCCGCGGUAAUACGUAGGGCGCAAGCGUUAUCCGGAAUUAUUGGGCGUAAAGAGCUCGUAGGCGGUUUGUCGCGUCUGCCGUGAAAGUCCGGGGCUCAACUCCGGAUCUGCGGUGGGUACGGGCAGACUAGAGUGAUGUAGGGGAGACUGGAAUUCCUGGUGUAGCGGUGAAAUGCGCAGAUAUCAGGAGGAACACCGAUGGCGAAGGCAGGUCUCUGGGCAUUAACUGACGCUGAGGAGCGAAAGCAUGGGGAGCGAACAGGAUUAGAUACCCUGGUAGUCCAUGCCGUAAACGUUGGGCACUAGGUGUGGGGGACAUUCCACGUUUUCCGCGCCGUAGCUAACGCAUUAAGUGCCCCGCCUGGGGAGUACGGCCGCAAGGCUAAAACUCAAAGGAAUUGACGGGGGCCCGCACAAGCGGCGGAGCAUGCGGAUUAAUUCGAUGCAACGCGAAGAACCUUACCAAGGCUUGACAUGAACCGGUAAUACCUGGAGACAGGUGCCCCGCUUGCGGUCGGUUUACAGGUGGUGCAUGGUUGUCGUCAGCUCGUGUCGUGAGAUGUUGGGUUAAGUCCCGCAACGAGCGCAACCCUCGUUCUAUGUUGCCAGCACGUGAUGGUGGGGACUCAUAGGAGACUGCCGGGGUCAACUCGGAGGAAGGUGGGGACGACGUCAAAUCAUCAUGCCCCUUAUGUCUUGGGCUUCACGCAUGCUACAAUGGCCGGUACAAAGGGUUGCGAUACUGUGAGGUGGAGCUAAUCCCAAAAAGCCGGUCUCAGUUCGGAUUGGGGUCUGCAACUCGACCCCAUGAAGUCGGAGUCGCUAGUAAUCGCAGAUCAGCAACCCUGCGAUGAAUACGCUCCCGGGCCUUGUACACCCCGCCCCGUCA
RNAcentral lists this ribosomal RNA (1119 nucleotides) under Arthrobacter sp. LC143. RNAcentral describes it as "bacterial SSU rRNA". It matches the Rfam family "Bacterial small subunit ribosomal RNA", at positions 268 to 1399 of the family's 1533-position model. The record is from RNAcentral. Lineage: Bacteria; Bacillati; Actinomycetota; Actinomycetes; Micrococcales; Micrococcaceae.